UACAGAGGGGGCAAGCGUUGUUCGGAAUUACUGGGCGUAAAGGGCGCGUAGGCGGCCUGCUAAGUCGAACGUGAAAUCCCUGGGCUCAACCCAGGAACUGCGUCCGAUACUGGUUGGCUUGAAUCCGGGAGAGGGAUGUGGAAUUCCAGGUGUAGCGGUGAAAUGCGUAGAUAUCUGGAGGAACACCGGUGGCGAAGGCGACAUUCUGGACCGGUAUUGACGCUGAGGCGCGAAAGCCAGGGGAGCAAACAGG
Molecule: ribosomal RNA, 253 nt
Filed under: uncultured bacterium
Lineage: Bacteria
Description: partial 16S ribosomal RNA
Rfam family: Bacterial small subunit ribosomal RNA
Source: RNAcentral